UCUGCACAUUAUUAAACCCCGUUGUUAAACCAGUCUCUGGCCCGUGAGCUUCGGGUGUCGGAAAUGUGCGAUAGUAAAGCUGGCAAGUUUUCGCUAACACCACAAGAGGCCCUGAGCCUCGAGGAGUGGGGUUUGAUAGUAUUCUAUGCCACAGUG
Callorhinchus milii (elephant shark) is the source of this 156-nucleotide small nucleolar RNA. The record is from Ensembl. NCBI's taxonomy places the organism in Eukaryota, Metazoa, Chordata, Chondrichthyes, Chimaeriformes, Callorhinchidae.